CCUACGGGUGGCAGCAGUGGGGAAUAUUGGGCAAUGGAGGAAACUCUGACCCAGCAACGCCGCGUGAAGGAUGAAGGUUUUCGGAUUGUAAACUUCUGUCGCGAGGGAUGAAGAAUGACGUUAGCUUGUAAGACUGCAACGGCAAACUACGUGCCAGCAGCCGCGGUAAUACGCAGGGGGCGAGCGUUGUCCGGAAUGACUGGGCGUAAAGGGAGUGUAGGCGGCAUAUUAAGUUAGGUGUGAAAGCCCGCGGCUCAACCGCGGAAUUGCACAUAAAACUGGUAAGCUGGAGUGCAGGAGCGGUAAGUGGAAUGCCCGGUGUAGCGGUGGAAUGCGUAGAGAUC
Molecule: ribosomal RNA, 344 nt
Filed under: uncultured bacterium
Lineage: Bacteria
Description: partial 16S ribosomal RNA
Rfam family: Bacterial small subunit ribosomal RNA
Source: RNAcentral